Non-coding RNA from Biomphalaria pfeifferi, 1371 nucleotides. NCBI's taxonomy places the organism in Eukaryota, Metazoa, Mollusca, Gastropoda, Planorbidae. The record is from the annotation of a GenBank genome assembly.
UAUUCAUGAUGUGAAGACACAAAUUCAUGAUGUGAAGAGCACAAAAUAAUUCUGUGUGUUUUUAAUGUCAAGUUUAUGAGAUGUUUAACAUUUUUUUAAUGUUGUUUAACUUCAGGUGAACAAACAACAUCACGAUUCUAAAAGGCAAUCUGGUCAGCUAUCUUGCUUGAACCUUGUCUCAUCUAUUCUUAGCUUAAAAACCCCCCAGAGUGUUGGAAAUAUAGCACAGAAAGUUGACCCGAAGUGUGAAGUUUCAAAAAGUCCGCAAUGAUUUAUGUCAGAAAAAAAAUGUACUUCAAUUCUUUAUUCCAUUUAAUCGUAGACGUGUUCAGAGACGGUAAAGAAAUGAUUGAAACUUAAUAUAUAUAUGUAACAGCAUGACCACUAAACAUUUCAUUAUACAAAUGAAAUCAUCUUCCUCGUACAAGACAAUAGCCCUCGUCGAAGGAGAUGUAGACAAGAAGAAUCAUUAGUCUAAAGAUAGUCAAAUUAAAUCAUGUCUCACGAACAAACCUAUAAUAAAUUCUAUGUGCAAUCAAACAAUUUAGUCACUAUUUGAAGUACUACUAGACCAAUAUAUUUAGAUAAAAACCAAUGGUGCCCUUCACCCCCUAUUACACUUCCCCCCCUCCCGCCUCCCGCACACAAAAAGAACACACAAAAAAGCCACCCCUUUCUCCCUCUAUGCCCACUGAGAGGAACUCCGUUGAAAUGGCUAUUAUUUUAUUUCCAUUGAAAUGUCUUCUCUUUCAAGUCAUCACAUACAUAGGAUGUCUAAAUGUCUGGAAGCAUACUUUAACGCAUAAAUAAAACUAAUUAUCAAAGUGUAGAGUUCUGGCUUCUUUUUCAUUCAAUGCAAGUUUGCAUUUUUCUUUAUCCUCUCCAUUGUAUAUGUCUAGUCUAGUUAAACAAGCUGAGAAAGUUCUGACUAUCUACAAAGUAUCUACAAGUGAUAUUAUUAGGUUCUAGUCACGUGGUAUCCAGAUAGGCUGGAUGGGCUUCCAUUUAGACGCAUUACAUAAGUAGGCUUAUGUUUUUGGAAACUGAAAACAACAUAGCAGAGGAAGUGUGUCUCUAGCAUUGGUACUACAUCGCAUGGUUUGGGAAGAGGCCAGUCAAAUAGUUUAGUGGAUAGAAGCUUCCGUUGUCUCAUGAUAGACGUCAGGGGCAAGGGUAAAUGCACUGAUGGUUAGGUAGUGUCUUGUUUUAUUGGGCUUGUUUGUGUACAAACGCUGCUGUGAUAAAAUGUUCAUGACCUGUGUUAUUUCAUUAUUUUAUUCACUACUUGUAUAUAUAUAUAAAAUGAUCAUGUUUAACUAGAGACUCUAUGACCUUUGGUCUGAUUAGUAAUAAACAAAGUUCGAAAUAGUU